Aethalodelphis obliquidens (Pacific white-sided dolphin) is the source of this 72-nucleotide non-coding RNA. The record is from the annotation of a RefSeq genome assembly. Lineage: Eukaryota; Metazoa; Chordata; Mammalia; Artiodactyla; Delphinidae.
UCCCUGGUGGUCCAGUGGUUAGGACGCAUCACUUUUGCUGCUCGCGCCCAGGUUCAAUCCCUGGUCAGGGAA